AAAAAUUCCACUGAGUCGGCAAUCCGCGGCCCCCAGCAGCCGAGGUAGAGCCUUGAACGCAGAGCAGCAACGCCAUCGCUGCGAGAUGAGCCACUCACUGCCAUUGGAGCGAACAAAAGUUGGGAUGCAUUCAGUUAAACCUCAAUGAAAAACGUUCUGCUUGGAGCACGCUGCAUUUGUGCCUACAAAGAGGAGCCGACUGGUGAAGUCAGGGUAAGAGGACGAUGCGUCUGUAAGGUCAGGAGGUGAUUGGUAACCAGGUGUUGGAUAAGGGAAGUGAAGAG
This 284-nucleotide long non-coding RNA is filed under the name Gallus gallus (chicken). Lineage: Eukaryota; Metazoa; Chordata; Aves; Galliformes; Phasianidae. The record is from RNAcentral.